AGUGCAGGAAAUAGCUCAUGUUAAAUACGUUCACUUUUCAGUUUUCCUUUCUUCUAAAAUGGAGCUUGACAGAUUGGGCUUUUCAGCUCCCCCCCCUUUUUUUUCACCACCUCUGCUUUCUACCUCAGAAAUACUCUUCAGGAAGCAGGAGUUAAUCUUGGGCCAGUGAGCGUUUCCAGCUCAGCUUCAGCGUGGUCCGUGCCCGGGGUCCGGGCAGACACCUCCGGUGGAAGGGGGGCAUUCGCUCUCAGUGCCCCUUCAGUUCUUGUUCUCGCUGACACUGGCAUCAGCAAUGAUUACCGAGCUGAUCUUCUGGUGUGGGCACUUGUCCAGUGGGAGACCACCAAACUCAUGUCACUCAAUACGAGCUGGAGUUCCUCGCGAAGCUUCACAAGAAGGCCAGCCCUACCGGAAACCCCUGCUUUAAAUGAAGGAAUCGCUCGGACGAAAGGAGCGGUUUUCCGAAGGCAGCUGGAUCAAAGUGAAGUCACUCAGAAUAGCCCGCACGCAGGUUUCCUUUUGCUCCUAGGUUCACGCAGAGUGUUAGGCGCUCGGUGGCCCGGUCCGGCCCCUCCAGCGAGGAGACGUUCGGCGGGACACUCCGCGAGGAGCUCCUCUCUCUGCUAGCCCUGAGAAUAUCCUGGGAUCUCUCUCUCUCUUUUUUUUUUUUUUUUAAGACUUUAAAAAUAAUUUGGUGGAUCUCUAAUCUAGUUAUCUGCUGUAACUGCAAUAUGCGCUGUAUGUCUGACUCCCACAGACGAAGGCCUCUGUUUCCUUUCUGCCAGUACCUUAGUAUCUGCCUUGCCCAGGAGUCUGCUGAUGAAGACUUCCUGUUUGUUUUGAGUCACUGCUGGAGUGAUAAAUAUACUUCAGCUUUUCUCCUCCGAGAGGAAAGAAACCAGCUGCCCCGAACUACAGAGAAAAUAUGUAGAAAUUCCACCAAAGGGCCCCGUUAUCAUGGAGCUUCUAUGGCAGCAUGAAAAAAUGAGUAUUACAAGCUACGACAAAGGAGCAAUUUACAUAUUAAAACGGCCUUCCGCCCGCAUGGACUUAAGUUGUUUGCCUUUAAUCAUUUAUUUUCACUCUAUAACUUUAAUUUGGAGUGUUUUGGAAAUAAAUAAAUAAAUGCAAAACCCCCA
This 1139-nucleotide long non-coding RNA is filed under the name Apteryx owenii (little spotted kiwi). Its description in RNAcentral is "lncRNA (ENSAOWG00000012901.1)". Lineage: Eukaryota; Metazoa; Chordata; Aves; Apterygiformes; Apterygidae. The record is from RNAcentral.